This is a long non-coding RNA of Ictalurus punctatus (channel catfish), 917 nucleotides long. NCBI's taxonomy places the organism in Eukaryota, Metazoa, Chordata, Actinopteri, Siluriformes, Ictaluridae. The record is from Ensembl.
CUUAAUUUAACCUUUAAUAUUUUACAAAUGCUCACGUUUCUGUUUUACUGUUUCUGCUUUUCUUUAUUUUAAGUACAAACUGAACCAAGGCUCAGGGUUUUGAUGAACAGGAUGUGAACUAUUUGGAUUGUGAAAACAUUUUUACUGUUGAUUAUUCCUCAUAAUGAAAUAGAUUGAGUAGUUUCACUCCUGCAGUGGUAACAGUCUGACAUGGUGGAUGCUAGUCAGGAGAGAGGGGGGCACAAACUAUUGGAGCAUAUCAAGAAAACAGUAGAAGCCAUGACACAGUCCAUUAAAAUGGUGGAAAGGUUUAAUGAUGAUCUAAAACUCCAGAGCACCAUCGUUUUCGUCCAGCGUUCAUCUGCUUGUGUUCUUUCUUUGAGAUAGAGAUUUCCCUUGAACUGAGAACCAUAAGGGCUUUCAGUACUGGACUAUCUCUUACUUUUAGACGGAUAGUACUGUUGGUCCGUGACCUAGUGAACCAGUACCAGGACGUAUUGAUUGAUGAAGACUUCAAAGCACGUCUCUCCAGGGUUCCUGAUGUGAUCCCGAGCUCGGGUUACUGUCUGUGUGGAGUUCCAUAUGUUCUCCCGUGCCCGUGUGGAUAGACUACUGAUCCACCAGGAUAAAGUGCUUUUUGAAGAUUCAAGAGAGAGAAAAGGCGCGGCUGGUGAAGGAACGACGGUUUAUAGCUGCUGUAAUAACAGACCAAAAACAGCAUCUCCAGCUCCAUCUGUCAAAUCUGACCAGUCAAUGGAUCCACCUCAUAACUUCUAAACAUUUCAAAUCCCCUGAGUAUUAAACACAGAGAGUCAUACACCAGUCUACUGAUGAUGGAGCACUUGAGGUGUGGAGUGUGUAAAGAUAUGCUAAAGGAGCCUGUGUCUAUCCCUUGUGGACACGGUUUCUGUGAAACC